Molecule: microRNA, 23 nt
Filed under: Equus caballus (horse)
Lineage: Eukaryota; Metazoa; Chordata; Mammalia; Perissodactyla; Equidae
Description: eca-miR-9063
Source: miRBase by way of RNAcentral
UCCGAGAGCUGCUAUCUGAGAGA